CCCAGCUCCGGUCAAGGGGCGGGGAGAGGCAACGCUUCAGGUCCGGAAGGAAGCAGAGCACCUCUCCCCAUCUCUGUGACCGGAUUACUGGGUCUGA
This 97-nucleotide signal recognition particle RNA is filed under the name Campylobacterota bacterium. Its description in RNAcentral is "Epsilonproteobacteria bacterium (hydrothermal vent metagenome) signal recognition particle sRNA small type". It matches the Rfam family "Bacterial small signal recognition particle RNA". From Rfam's summary of the family: The signal recognition particle (SRP) is a universally conserved ribonucleoprotein involved in the co-translational targeting of proteins to membranes. Archaeal SRP consists of a 7S RNA and homologues of the eukaryotic SRP19 and SRP54 proteins. The record is from RNAcentral. Lineage: Bacteria; Pseudomonadati; Campylobacterota.